GCUCAAAGAAAGGAGAUUUUAACUCCCACCCCUGGCUCCCAAAGCCAGGAUUCUUAAUUAAACUAUUCUUUG
RNAcentral lists this transfer RNA (72 nucleotides) under Sebastes hubbsi. RNAcentral's name for it is "tRNA-Pro". Lineage: Eukaryota; Metazoa; Chordata; Actinopteri; Perciformes; Sebastidae. The record is from RNAcentral. RNAcentral also lists the same sequence under 1 other name.